RNAcentral lists this unclassified non-coding RNA (449 nucleotides) under Hevea brasiliensis (rubber tree). The record is from RNAcentral. Lineage: Eukaryota; Viridiplantae; Streptophyta; Magnoliopsida; Malpighiales; Euphorbiaceae.
GGGACUUCAAUACAAAGGAGCAUGGUGCACCCCUCCUAGGGUGUUUGUUGAUUAUCAGGAAGAAGUAGCACCUCAGUUAGAGCCUGGAAUGAUCCCAUCAACCGUUGAUCCAGAUGCAGCUGGGUUUGUUGAAAAGGGAAACAAGGGACCUAAGCGGCCUGUUAAGAUCAGUGCAUGGAAACUUGCCAAAUUGGAUUCAAGUGAAGCAAUGAGAGCCGCAGCAAAAGCUAGAGCAUCCUCAUCUGUUUUACGUCCUGUUGAUAACCGUCGUUUUGAUACUGAAUUAAGUUCCAGUGAGAAUAUGAGUGUCAGAAGCAGUAUCAGUGCUGAUACCGGAGGAAAUAGAGAUAUGAGAAAUGAAUUAAGGAAUUCACUUGCUCCUAGUCAAGGUAGCCGAGAUGAGUAUGAAACUGGAACUCACAGCAUCAGUAGCUUUAGCAGUCCCAGCC